Molecule: ribosomal RNA, 502 nt
Filed under: uncultured gamma proteobacterium NAC60-1
Lineage: Bacteria; Pseudomonadati; Pseudomonadota; Gammaproteobacteria
Description: bacterial SSU rRNA
Rfam family: Bacterial small subunit ribosomal RNA
Source: RNAcentral
GACGCUGGCGGCAGGCCUNCACAUGCAAGUCGAGCGCGAAAACACUUCGGUGUGAGUAGAGCGGCGGACGGGUGAGUAAUGCUUGGGAAUCUGCCCAGUAGUGGGGGAUAACGUGUGGAAACGCACGCUAAUACCGCAUACGUCCUACGGGAGAAAGCAGGGGAUCUUCGGACCUUGCGCUAUUGGAUGAGCCCAAGUCAGAUUAGCUAGUUGGUGAGGUAAUGGCUCACCAAGGCGACGAUCUGUAGCUGGUCUGAGAGGAUGAUCAGCCACAUUGGGACUGAGACACGGCCCAAACUCCUACGGGAGGCAGCAGUGGGGAAUCUUGCACAAUGGGGGAAACCCUGAUGCAGCGAUGCCGCGUGAGUGAAGAAGGCCUUUGGGUUGUAAAGCUCUUUCGUCGGGGAAGAAAAUGACUGUACCCGAAUAAGAAGGUCCGGCUAACUUCGUGCCAGCAGCCGCGGUAAUACGAAGGGACCUAGCGUAGUUCGGAAUUACUGGG